Long non-coding RNA from Homalodisca vitripennis (glassy-winged sharpshooter), 475 nucleotides. RefSeq lists it as uncharacterized. The record is from RefSeq and is a predicted model, not a curated record. NCBI's taxonomy places the organism in Eukaryota, Metazoa, Arthropoda, Insecta, Hemiptera, Cicadellidae. The transcript is spliced from 3 exons.
UAUGACAUAAUCAGAGACCAGUUUGAAAUACAGUCGGGUUUCUGUAUUCAUAUAACUUAUAUGAAAAAACUAAUGAUUAUGAACUGCUAUUAAUCGUAUAUAACAUCAUUAGUUAUUUUGAAAGUACAGUAUCUAUUCAGGUGGAAAUAUAUACAUUGUGGACACCAAACAGAAUAUUGCUUACUUGGUCCUGAUUUCAAAGUUAAGGAAACGAUGAUGUUGACCGUUGUUGGGAUUCUAUGCUUGGGAACCCUCUUGCCCCCAGUGAUUUCUGGCAUCUCACUGGAAGAACGCUUAAACGACGAAGAACCCCAGUUUAUGCUCGAUUACCUCAUCGAGCUAUCAAAGAGAGAAGCCGAACUCGGUGGCGAAAUUGGGGAAGGACCAGAAAUAUUAAAUAAUCAAUUUGUACCAUAUUUUUAAAAUUAAAACUGUGAUGUGAUUAGAAUACAAAUAUUAAAAUCAUCUUUAAUAA